Molecule: long non-coding RNA, 860 nt
Organism: Lathyrus oleraceus (garden pea)
Lineage: Eukaryota; Viridiplantae; Streptophyta; Magnoliopsida; Fabales; Fabaceae
Exons: 2
Source: RefSeq, a predicted model, not a curated record
AGCAUCCAUGUUAAUCGAAGAAAAAACUACACUAAACCAUAAAUUAAUUAGUAUUAUGGAAAAGAUUAUCACGAACACGGGCCUGGGGGGUUUAUGAAGGAGUUGGGAGGAUGUAUGCAACGAAAGGCUUAUUUGUUCACUUGUGCUAAGGGCCCAAGUCUUGCCCAAAAGGACCCAAGAACCAGCUUCAUGAAAGAAUUCCUGAACGUACCUUCAAACUGAACACAAAUUGAAUGCUCGUGAGAACUCACAGAUCGAAUGAAGCUGCUCGCGUAAACCUCGCGUCGUUGUCGUCGACGCGUCUUUGACGAGGAAUGAGGAUCAAUUUAGCCGGUAACAUAUAGUCAACGACGGGUGAAGAUCAACUUCAAUCGGUAACGCGUAAUCGACGGAGAAUGAGGAUUAACUUCGGUUGGAAACGCGCCGUCAACGAGGAGUGAGGAUCAGCUUUGAUCGGAAAUGCACCGUCAACGAGGAGUGAGGAUCAGCUUUGAUUGGAUGCGUCUCCAGGUUCUUGGUAUGGUAGUUUUUUUGAGGUCACUUUGAAGUUUGGAGGGUGAUUGUCGGUGAACUUCCUUCAACAAUUACCGUGAUUGAUCGGCUAGGCUCAACUAAAGAAUUAAUCCCAUCAAGAACCGUGGGACUACAUAAAUUUGCAUUCUCCAAUGCCAUCCAUUUCCUUCUGUCUAUAUAGCCUUGAUCAAUAAUCAUGUAACCUAUUCAAAUUUGUGGAAGCUAACCUUUUUGAUCAUCUGCUUUGAAUUUCCAAAUUGUAUGCUACUUAUGAUGUAAUUACAAAAUGAAUCAACAUUUGUAUAGAAUGAUUUUUUAUGGACAUUUAACUAAAAUUUCCCACCAAA